RNA transcript from Solanum pennellii, 1764 nucleotides. It is a transcript of the gene named putative GPI-anchor transamidase, with no coding region annotated. The transcript is spliced from 12 exons. NCBI's taxonomy places the organism in Eukaryota, Viridiplantae, Streptophyta, Magnoliopsida, Solanales, Solanaceae. The record is from RefSeq and is a predicted model, not a curated record.
CCCAAUCAAACAAAAGAGAAAUUUCAGAGUAAGGCAAAACAGCUUGUUGAAAAAUCUGAGAUGGAAGAAUGAGCUCAUUGAAAAUGGAUUCCACUAUGAAAUCUGAAUUUCUAUUGUGUUUUCUUCUUUUCUCUACUUAUUUGAGCUAUGGGGUUGCGUCAAGUUCAUCUGCGACCACUACGAUGCAUACUAACAAUUGGGCUGUUUUGGUCUGCACUUCUCGUUUCUGGUUUAACUACAGACACAUGGCUAACACUUUGUCUUUAUACAGAACCGUAAAACGAUUAGGCAUACCUGAUGAAAGAAUUAUUCUGAUGUUGGCUGAUGAUAUGGCUUGCAAUACUCGAAAUAAAUACCCUGCACAGGUCUUCAACAAUGAAAAUCACAGGCUAAACCUUUAUGGAGAUAACGUUGAGGUUGAUUAUCGAGGUUAUGAAGUAACAGUUGAAAAUUUUCUGAGGGUGCUGACUGGACGUCAUGAAACAGCUGUCCCAAGAUCAAAACGUCUUCUUAGUGAUGAAGGAAGCCACAUACUUCUGUACAUGACAGGGCAUGGCGGAGACGAGUUUUUAAAAUUUCAGGAUUCAGAAGAACUUCAAAGUCAUGAUUUAGCUGAUGCAGUGAAACAAAUGAAAGAAAAGCGUAGAUUCAAGGAGCUGCUAAUAAUGGUUGACACUUGCCAAGCUGCUACUCUUUUCUCGCAGCUUCAAUCACCUGGCGUAUUGACAAUUGGGAGUAGCAUGAAAGGAGAAAAUUCAUACUCGCACCACUUGGAUGCUGAUGUUGGUGUCUCAGUUAUUGAUCGAUUCACAUUUUAUACUCUUGCAUUUUUUGAGAGGGUGAACAUGUAUGAUAAUGCCUCAUUGGGCAGUCUUUUCAGUUCAUAUAACCCAAAUACGCUGAUGUCGACUGCAUAUUAUCGAACAGAUCUAUACCCUCGCCGAUUAGAAGAGGUACCCGUGACAAACUUUUUUGGUUCAGUCAUGGAGACGAUACACACUGAUUCUGCAUAUAAAGCAUUCGCUGGCAAAGAUUCCAAGAAGUCCACAUUAGAGAUGCCUCUUCAGCAGUCCAGCCAAGACUUACGACGAACACUUGCAAGUUCAGAUGUUCAGUAUCCAACCAGUGACUCAAAUGUUGAGGAUCCACAAGAUUCCUGUCCUUUCACAAAUUUUUGGAUUUCUAUGCAUGGUAAGAUGAACAAGGUUGAGGGUCUUGAUAGCUGGGUGAACUAUGGCUUGUUUUUGAUGUUUCCAAUGGUGGCAAUGUCAUCUUGGAUCUCGUCUUGAAGCUUCUAACAUGACGGCAGUUGGUUAGCAGAUUCAGGCGGAGUGGUUAGCAUCCAACCUAUUAUGUUUGCAAAUUUCAGAAGUGGAGACAAGACAUCGAAUGGAUACUCUGAUGGAGCGCCAUGAUCCUGUGUUGUUUCAUUUCCAUGUUUGUCGAAAACAUUGGCCUGGUAGAAGCUGUUCUAUCUCACCAAAAAUACGCGAGCAACUAGUUGAGGCGCCACGCCACCCUUGCUCUGCAAAAUAGAAAUUGCAGAAACUCUUUGACAAAUAGUGCAAUGUAGAAAUUCUUCCUAAGUUCUCUGAUUUGGAAGACAUCAAAUAGUUGAGCUAUUAAUACUAUCCCAUUCCAUAUGGUUUGAUUUUUUACAUUCAGUUUAAGUUUUCCGCGACAUGUAAAUUGGUAACCAUAAUUUAUUCGACUUUAACUUACAUAUUAUACUCAUAUAAUAGAGAUAUGAUCUCAACUUUUCAA